CAGUCGCCGCGGUAAUACGUAGGGUGCAAGCGUUAAUCGGAAUUACUGGGCGUAAAGCGUGUGCAGGCGGUCCGCUAAGACAGAUGUGAAAUCCCCGGGCUUAACCUGGGAACUGCAUUUGUGACUGGCGGGCUAGAGUAUGGCAGAGGGGGGUAGAAUUCCACGUGUAGCAGUGAAAUGCGUAGAGAUGUGGAGGAAUACCGAUGGCGAAGGCAGCCCCCUGGGCCAAUACUGACGCUCAGGUGCGAAAGCGUGGGGAGCAAACAGGAUUAGAUACCCGCGUAGUCCCUGUCUCUUAUAC
This 301-nucleotide ribosomal RNA is filed under the name uncultured bacterium. RNAcentral's name for it is "partial 16S ribosomal RNA". It matches the Rfam family "Bacterial small subunit ribosomal RNA", at positions 509 to 807 of the family's 1533-position model. The record is from RNAcentral.